CUCGUGUCGUGGUCGAGCGAGCCAAAGGGAGCUCAGCGCACGGAGCCGGUGAAAGUAUUCGGCAAUGGCUAGCAAAGAUCGUGCCAUCUGCCUGGUCGUCAAGAUCUGGUAAAGCCGGUGAAGUGUCUGCUGCCGCAGUGCACAACAAAGAGAUGCUAUGGAACAUCGACUAACAUGAUUUUUCUGAAGCAAGUGACGUUUAUGCCGAUCUUAAAAUGUUGCGGCUGCAUUUGGUCAUGAGAGACUUGAUGAACAACCUUAUAUUUUCUGCAAGUAUUCUGAUCAGCAAACCAACUCCUUGUUUUCUAAAUGCAUAUUCUAGAAAUGCAUGUAGACCCAUAAUUCAUAUAUUGCUACUAUAGAAUUUGCUUUCAUCCUA
Molecule: long non-coding RNA, 379 nt
Organism: Musa acuminata AAA Group (dessert banana)
Lineage: Eukaryota; Viridiplantae; Streptophyta; Magnoliopsida; Zingiberales; Musaceae
Exons: 2
Source: RefSeq, a predicted model, not a curated record